GAAACCAACAGGGAUUGCCUUAGUAACGGCGAGUGAAGCGGCAAAAGCUCAAAUUUGAAAUCUGGCACCUUCGGUGUCCGAGUUGUAAUUUGAAGAAGGUAACUUUGGAGUUGGCUCUUGUCUAUGUUCCUUGGAACAGGACGUCACAGAGGGUGAGAAUCCCGUGCGAUGAGAUGCCCAAUUCUAUGUAAAGUGCUUUCGAAGAGUCGAGUUGUUUGGGAAUGCAGCUCUAAGUGGGUGGUAAAUUCCAUCUAAAGCUAAAUAUUGGCGAGAGACCGAUAGCGAACAAGUACAGUGAUGGAAAGAUGAAAAGAACUUUGAAAAGAGAGUGAAAAAGUACGUGAAAUUGUUGAAAGGGAAGGGCUUGAGAUCAGACUUGGUAUUUUGCGAUCCUUUCCUUCUUGGUUGGGUUCCUCGCAGCUUACUGGGCCAGCAUCGGUUUGGAUGGUAGGAUAAUGACUAAGGAAUGUGGCUCUACUUCGGUGGAGUGUUAUAGCCUUGGUUGAUACUGCCUGUCUAGACCGAGGACUGCGUCUUUUGACUAGGAUGUUGGCAUAAUGAUCUUAAGCCA
Molecule: ribosomal RNA, 571 nt
Filed under: Debaryomyces hansenii
Lineage: Eukaryota; Fungi; Ascomycota; Pichiomycetes; Serinales; Debaryomycetaceae
Description: partial large subunit ribosomal RNA
Rfam family: Eukaryotic large subunit ribosomal RNA
Source: RNAcentral